GGGUUGUGAGGUUAAGCGAAUAAGCGUACACGGUGGAUGCCUAGGCAAUCAGAGGCGAUGAAGGACGUGCUAAUCUGCGAAAAGCGUCGGUAAGGUGAUAUGAACCGUUAUACCCGACGAUAUCCGAAUGGGGAAACCCAGUAUCCAAUGGAUACUAUCAUUAACUGAAUCCAUAGGUUAAUGAGGCGAACCGGGAGAACUGAAACAUCUCAGUACCCCGAGGAAAAGAAAUCAACCGAGAUUCCCCUAGUAGCGGCGAGCGAACGGGGAGCAGCCCAGAGUCUUAAUCAAUAGCAGUGUCAGGAGAACGGUCUGGAAAGUCCGGCAGUAAAGGGUGAUAGCCCCGUAUCUGAAGAUGCUGUUAUUGUGAACUCGACGAGUAGGGCGGGACACGUGUUAUCCUGUCUGAAUAUGGGGGGACCAUCCUCCAAGGCUAAAUACUCCUGAUUGACCGAUAGUGAACCAGUACCGUGAGGGAAAGGCGAAAAGAACCCCGGCGAGGGGAGUGAAAAAGAACCUGAAACCGUGUACGUACAAGCAGUAGGAGCCCCAUCACUCAAGUGCCUCGCACUGAGUGAUGCAAUAACAUCACCGAAAAUAGCGCCGAAUUUGCUAACAAGGUUGGUCGAUUUUUUCAAGCCGUCGCGCAGUGUACCUAGAAGUACACGAGCAACGGAAGUUAAAAAAUCGGGCAAGAUUGAACGCAAAGGCAAGCGGGACAUUUGAGGAUGGGGUGACUGCGUACCUUUUGUAUAAUGGGUCAGCGACUUAUAUUCUGUAGC
This 782-nucleotide ribosomal RNA is filed under the name Proteus mirabilis. RNAcentral's name for it is "bacterial LSU rRNA". It matches the Rfam family "Bacterial large subunit ribosomal RNA", at positions 1 to 641 of the family's 2925-position model. Lineage: Bacteria; Pseudomonadati; Pseudomonadota; Gammaproteobacteria; Enterobacterales; Morganellaceae. The record is from RNAcentral.